Non-coding RNA from Nicotiana tabacum (common tobacco), 2394 nucleotides. NCBI's taxonomy places the organism in Eukaryota, Viridiplantae, Streptophyta, Magnoliopsida, Solanales, Solanaceae. The record is from RefSeq and is a predicted model, not a curated record.
UCUGUUUCUUUUAACUUAUCAUAGUAAUUCAUAUUAGACCUCAAAUCAAUAGUCGGUUGUUUUUUGACGGUUGGUGGGGGGUCGUUGUUCAGUGAUGAGUGUUCACCUUAUUUAUUACUCCAUGAGUUUCUCGUACACACUGGGAUUUCACUGGGUUUGAUUGAUUGAUUGAUAUAUAGCAGCAUAUUAUGCUGAUCAUUUUAUUGCAAGUUUUGAAAAGAUCAUCCUUUUUCAUCAGCUGAUUAUUGGCUUGUGUUCGUGGUCAUGAUGGAUUUGCUUUAUUUAGAGGCUCCAUUUCCUCUGUUAAUGAUAUUCUUCAUUCAUUCUUUGUAGAUAAUUUGCUAUUUGUAUGUGCAGUUCCAUCUCUGCAAAGCUCAUAUUAGUUUUGUUGCUUAUAGGAUCAGUUUGAGAUUACUGGCAGAUAUGGAUGAUCCAGUCCACAAACAAUUCUAUUGUUAACUAAUCGAUAUCCUUAUUUGGCUUUGCAGGUUUUUAAUGCCAACAUACCAGUGACUGAUUCAUAUAGCUGACGCCAACUUGCUUGCGAUUGAUCCGUAGUUAUUGUUGUGCAGUAGUGACGGCAAUUGUGUUAUGGGCUGGCUAGAAAAGAUAUUUGGAGGUUCCACUCACAGGAUCUCUGGUGGGCAAUAUCAUGGGGGGUAUGAGAGUGGGCAAUAUCAUGGGGGCUACGACCUAGGACAAUAUCAUUCGGGGCACGAAGGAGGGCAAUAUCAGGGAGGGUAUGAGGACAAUACAAUUUGGGAGGGACCAACUGCCUCAGUGGAUGCAUUGUCAGAUUUCGAUAAUGAAGAAAUUGAUCGUGCCAUUGCACUUUCUCUAGCUGAAGAGGAUCAGAAAGGGAAAAAAGUAAUCGAGAGUGAACCCAACUUGGAGGAAGACGAGGCGCUUGCCAAGGCUCUUCAGGAAAGUUUGAAUGUGGAGUCGUCUCCACCUCGAUAUGAUUAUGGAAGUUUCUUUCCACCAGUCUCACACUCGUAUCCACAUGGAUAUAGGGUAUGUGCCGGUUGUAAUGCUGAAAUUGGUCAUGGAAGAUAUUUAAGUUGCAUGGGAGCUGUUUGGCAUCCAGAAUGUUUCCGUUGCCAUGGUUGCAAUCAACCGAUUUCUGACUAUGAGUUUUCGAUGUCAGAUAACCGUCCGUACCAUAAAUCAUGCUACAAAGAACAGCAUCACCCAAAAUGUGAUGUUUGCAAGAACUUCAUUCCAACAAAUCCGGCUGGUCUAAUUGAAUAUAGGGCUCAUCCUUUCUGGCUUCAGAAGUAUUGCCCAUCACAUGAAACUGAUGGGACACCUCGUUGUUGCAGUUGUGAGAGAAUGGAGCCCGUAGAUGCCAGAUAUUUGAUAAAUGAUGAUGGUAGGAAGCUGUGUCUGGAGUGCUUGGACUCUGCAAUAAUGGAUACUCAUGAAUGCCAACCACUUUAUCUUGAGAUACAAGAAUUUUACGAAGGUUUAAAUAUGAAAGUAGAGCAGCAAAUUCCUUUGCUUCUAGUGGAAAGACAAGCCUUAAAUGAAGCGAUGGAAGGAGAAAAAAAUGGUCAUCAUCACAUGCCUGAGACUCGAGGACUCUGCCUGUCUGAAGAACAGACCAUUAGCACUAUUUCAAGGCGGCCACGGAUUGGUAGUUAUCGGAUUUUAGAUAUGUUUACUGAGCCUUACAGGUUAAUUCGACGAUGUGAAGUGACAGCUAUUUUAAUCUUGUAUGGUCUCCCUAGGUUAUUGACUGGUUCAAUUCUGGCUCAUGAAAUGAUGCAUGCAUGGCUGAGGCUUAAAGGUUAUCCGAGUUUAAGUCCAGAAGUUGAAGAAGGUAUCUGCCAAGUAUUAGCUCACAUGUGGUUGGAGUCUGAAAUUAUAGCUGGUUCUGGUAGUAAUAGUACUUCUGCAUCUUCCUCGGCGUCCUCAUCAUCCUCUUCAUCACCAUCUACUACUUCAUCAAAGAAAGGGAAACGUUCUGAGUUUGAGAAGAAAUUGGGUGAUUUUUUCAAGCACCAGAUUGAAUCAGACACAUCAGCAGCUUAUGGGGAUGGAUUCAGAGAAGGUAAUAAGGCAGUGCUCAAGUAUGGCCUGAAGACAACACUUGAUCAUAUCAAGCUUACAGGAACCUUCCCUUGUUAAAUUAUUCAGUCACUCUGAGUGUUUCCACUUCAACUCGAUUCUUGUUUUAUAGGACCAAAUACCACACAGAGAUGAUAAUCAUCAUAAUAAUAGUCCAAUAAUGAAAAGUCUCCAAAGGGCGCUUCAUUUUUUUUCUACGUUGCAGAAGAGGGAGAUUGGCUGUUCAAUACCUAUUGACUCCAUAUAAGCAGCAAAACUCAGCAUUUUCUCCAUAAUAUGUUGUAAAUUGGAGUCCUCGCGUCUAGUUAUUCCCUGUAUUCUUCU